This 576-nucleotide long non-coding RNA is filed under the name Equus asinus (donkey). RNAcentral's name for it is "lncRNA (ENSEASG00005032258.1)". The record is from RNAcentral. Lineage: Eukaryota; Metazoa; Chordata; Mammalia; Perissodactyla; Equidae.
CGGCGCGGUCGUCGCACAGCCCACCGCCCUGUCGCGGUGCCUGGCGCGCCACCUGGGCGGGGAGCGGGGCAGCGGGGGUCCCCCCGGCGUCUGGCCCCCGGCGUCGGGGGCGCUGGCCUUCGUGCCCUCGGGUCGGCGGCCCCCGUCCCCGCUUGUCCCCUCCGCCGACCAGGGUCGUGUGCGCCGGGCCCCGUGUCCUCCCGGCGGCGGCGCGGGCGCUCCGGGCGGGACGGUGUGCGCAUUUCGCGAGGUCGGAGAAGUCUGGUUCACUGUGAAAGUCACUGACGCCAUGCUGGCAGGAUCCUGUCAGGGGAGCGGAGUCUCUGAGCAGCCUGCACUCAAUGAGAUCUUCUGAUAUGCCCCCCGGUACAUAGCUGUAUAUUCUUCGUUGUGGGUCCUUCCAGUUGUGGCAUGUGGGACGCCGCCUCAGCGUGGUCCGACGAGCAGUGCCAUGUCCACGCCUAGGAGUCGAACCAACGAAACACUGGGCCGCCUGCAGCGGAGCGUGCGAACUUAACCACUCGGCCAUGGGGCCAGCGCCUGUCCUCAUUCUUUUUAAUUCUUUUUUCUUUGAUC